AGCAUUCUUCGUUAGGUGAGGCUACUGUACAGACACAGGCCACUGCCCGGAAAUGUCGAGAGACAGUAACGGGUCAACUGAUAUUACCGAAAUAAGGUUUUAUCUAACGUGGCUGAGAAAUUUUUAUUUCUCUAGCUGUAUUGAGCCAAAACUUGUACGAGUGAAGAAGGCG
This 172-nucleotide small RNA is filed under the name Peptococcaceae bacterium. RNAcentral's name for it is "Magnesium sequence". It matches the Rfam family "M-box riboswitch aptamer (ykoK leader)". Rfam says of the family: M-box riboswitch, also know as ykoK leader is described as a metaloregulatory RNA that sense divalent metals and function as a genetic control element of genes related to divalent metal transport in bacteria. Lineage: Bacteria; Bacillati; Bacillota; Clostridia; Eubacteriales; Peptococcaceae. The record is from RNAcentral.